AAAAACAUAUUUUAUAGAAAUAAUUAUAAAUACAUCCUGCUCAAUGAAUUAUUAAAUAGCCGCAGUUCAUACUGUGCUAAGGUAGCAUAAUCAUUUGUCUUUUAAUUAAAGACUAGAAUGAAAGGAUUAACAUUUAAAUCAUUAUUAAAAAUUUUCUACUUAAAUUUAUUUUAAAUGUUAAAAAACAUUUAUUCUAAGAAAGACGAAAAGACCCUAUUGAACUUCACUAAUGUUUAACUGGGGCAGUUAAUUAAUAAAUAUUUUAAUAUUUAAAUAUAAAUAAAUGACCCGAUCAAAUCGAUUUAAUGAUCAAGUUACCAUAGGGAUAACAGCGUAAUAUUUUUUCAUAGAUCUUAUACAAAAAAAUGUUUGCGACCUCGAUGUUGAAUUAAUUUAUCUAGUAAAUGCAACAAUUUAAAAAGAAAGUCUGUUCGACUUUUAAAUAAUUACAUGAUCUGAG
This 460-nucleotide ribosomal RNA is filed under the name Typostola barbata. RNAcentral's name for it is "partial 16S ribosomal RNA". It matches the Rfam family "Bacterial large subunit ribosomal RNA", at positions 1809 to 2609 of the family's 2925-position model. Lineage: Eukaryota; Metazoa; Arthropoda; Arachnida; Araneae; Sparassidae. The record is from RNAcentral.